CAAAUUAAAGCUUUAUUAAGCAUUUUAGUUACAUUAAAAAGAUUAUCAUAAUUUGGUAUAAUUUGA
RNAcentral lists this transfer RNA (66 nucleotides) under Elaeidobius kamerunicus. RNAcentral's name for it is "tRNA-Val". The record is from RNAcentral. Lineage: Eukaryota; Metazoa; Arthropoda; Insecta; Coleoptera; Curculionidae.